Molecule: ribosomal RNA, 406 nt
Filed under: uncultured bacterium
Lineage: Bacteria
Description: partial 16S ribosomal RNA
Rfam family: Bacterial small subunit ribosomal RNA
Source: RNAcentral
AUUGAACGCUGGCGGCAGGCCUAACACAUGCAAGUCGAACGGGUGGCGGACGGGUGAGUCAUGUCUGGGAAACUGCCCUAUGGAGGGGUUUAACUACUGGAAACGGUAGCUACUACCGCAUUCCAUCGGCUGUGCCCAGAUGGGAUUAGCUAGUGGGUGGGGCAACGGCUCACCUAGGCGACCAUCCCUAGCUGGUCUGAGAGGAUGACCAGCCACACUGGAACUGAGACACGGUCCAGACUCCUACGGGAGGCAGCAGUGGGGAAUAUUGCACAAUGGGCGCAAGCCUGAUGCAGCCAUGCCGCGUGUAUGAAGAAGGCCUUCGGGUUGUAAAGUACUUUCAGCGAGGAGGCGUUACUCGCAGAAGAAGCACCGGCUAACUCCGUGCCAGCAGCCGCGGUAAUUC